GGUUCACGGCAAGGGUGGAACCGGAUUCUGCCCGGAUGGGGAUCUGGAUGGGGGGGUGGGGGGUUGAUUUGGGAAGCAGAGCACAGCAGCCCAAAUUUGCUUGUAAUGUCGGCGGCUACAGAGGAAAGGCCAAGAAUGGACAGAUUAAUAAAGGGCCAUCUACAAGCCACGAAUAAGGCCAUCACCAGAAGCCAACCCCGCCAGUCCUUGAUCUAGGACUUCCAGACUUCAAAACUUUUCUAGCCUGCUGGCCUGCCUUCACUGUCCUGGGGGAGGCUUGGAGAGACCAGGUGGACUGGAGUAGACUGUUGAGAGACACUGGUCUGGUGAAGAUGUCCAGGAAACCACGAGCCUCCAGCCCAUUGUCCAACAACCACCCACCAACACCAAAGAGGCGAGGAAGUGGAAGGUUCCCAAGACAACCCGGAAGGGAAAAGGGACCCAUCAAGGAAGUUCCAGGAACAAAAGGCUCUCCCUAAAAGACCGCCGCUUCAAAAAAACCUGAGGAAUGGAGUGGGCCAACACUAUCCAGCCACUCUGACCAGCCGAACGAGGAACUCAAUCAAAAUGAGCCAUAGCGGGACCACAAGGGCAAGGAGACCACCACCUUCUCCAGUCUCUCUUCGGACAGCCAGUAAUUCCCGGGCAAGGCCAGAGACUUCAAGUCUAUCUGAAAAGUCUCCAGAGGUCUAACCCCAGAUAAAUAGCCAACAGGGUGUAGAGUACAUUUUACACCCCAAAGAGUGUGCCCCAUGGUGAUGAAAAUAAAGUGAACAUGUUGCAAAAUGA
RNAcentral lists this long non-coding RNA (789 nucleotides) under Homo sapiens (human). RNAcentral describes it as "non-protein coding lnc-CSAG2-2:1". Lineage: Eukaryota; Metazoa; Chordata; Mammalia; Primates; Hominidae. The record is from RNAcentral.